This 855-nucleotide ribosomal RNA is filed under the name uncultured bacterium. Its description in RNAcentral is "bacterial SSU rRNA". It matches the Rfam family "Bacterial small subunit ribosomal RNA", at positions 26 to 896 of the family's 1533-position model. The record is from RNAcentral.
AGGACGAACGUUGGCGGUGCGCCUAAUGCAUGCAAGUCGAACGGGCGAAGGGACUUCGGUCCCCUAGCUAGUGGCAAACGGCUGAGUAACACGUAAGUGAUCUGCCCCAAGGCGAGGGACAACCCCGAGAAAUCGGGCCUAAUACCUCGUAAGUUCAUUGGACUACGGUUUGAUGAAGAAAGGUUUCGACCACCUUGGGAGGAGCUUGCGGCCUAUCAGGUAGUUGGUGGGGUAAUAGCCUACCAAGCCGAAGACGGGUAACCGGUGUGAGAGCACGAUCGGYCAGAGGGGGACUGAGACACGGCCCCCACUCCUACGGGAGGCAGCAGCAGGGAAUCUUGCACAAUGGACGAAAGUCUGAUGCAGCGACACCGCGUGAGGGAAGAAGGCCUUCGGGUUGUAAACCUCUUUUAUCAGGGAAGAGUAAGGACUGUACCUGACGAAUAAGGACCGGCUAACUACGUGCCAGCAGCCGCGGUAAUACGUAGGGUCCAAACGUUGUCCGGAUUUACUGGGCGUAAAGAGCGCGUAGGCGGUUUGUUAAGUCUCAUGUGAAAUCUCCCGGCUCAACUGGGAGGGGUCAUGGGAUACUGGCAGGCUUGAGGGUAGCAGAGGAAAGCGGAAUUCCCGGAGUAGUGGUGAAAUGCGUAGAUACCGGGAGGAACACCAGAGGCGAAGGCGGCUUUCUGGGCUAUUCCUGACGCUGAGGCGCGAAAGCGUGGGGAGCAAACCGGAUUAGAUACCCGGGUAGUCCACGCCCUAAACGAUGGAUACUAGAUAUGGGGGGUAUCGACCCCUCCCGUGUCGCAGCUAACGCAUUAAGUAUCCCGCCUGAGGAGUACGGCCGCAAGGCUA